AUACGGAGGGUGCAAGCGUUACUCGGAAUCACUGGGCGUAAAGCGCGCGCAGGCGGUCUUUUAAGUUGGAUGUGAAAGCCUACGGCUCAACCGUAGAACUGCAUCCAAAACUAUUAGACGAGAGUGUGGGAGAGGAAGAUGGAAUUAGUUGUGUAGGGGUAAAACCCGUAGAGAUAACUAGGAAUACCAAAAGCGAAGGCAAUCUUCUGGAACACUACUGACGCUGAGGCGCGAAAGCGUGGGGAGCAAACAGAAUUAGAAACCCUUGUAGUCC
Molecule: ribosomal RNA, 274 nt
Filed under: uncultured bacterium
Lineage: Bacteria
Description: partial 16S ribosomal RNA
Rfam family: Bacterial small subunit ribosomal RNA
Source: RNAcentral